UUCCACGCAGGGGGGAAGGUCUGAGAUGCCGAUACAUACAUCCCUAGAGGGGGGUUGCCUCAGCGGCGCCGGUCGGUAAACAGAAAAGCCGGGACUCUCUCCCUCUCUUCGGGGGGGUGGAUGAGGGCGGUCUCUUGGAAUGACUGGCUGGCAAGAUUCCUUUGAGUCCAAUCAGCGGGACGCCUGUCUGACUAGCUGUCUGCUCGCAGGCAGUUGCAUGACGGGCGGAACUCAAUUCAGACUACUCCU
Molecule: RNase P RNA, 249 nt
Filed under: Chromera velia
Lineage: Eukaryota; Chromeraceae
Description: partial Nuclear RNase P
Rfam family: Nuclear RNase P
About the family: Ribonuclease P (RNase P) is a ubiquitous endoribonuclease, found in archaea, bacteria and eukarya as well as chloroplasts and mitochondria.
Source: RNAcentral